Molecule: non-coding RNA, 1212 nt
Organism: Triticum urartu
Lineage: Eukaryota; Viridiplantae; Streptophyta; Magnoliopsida; Poales; Poaceae
Source: RefSeq, a predicted model, not a curated record
GGUAAACCAGAUUCACAUCAUCAUAUUUUUCUCAUAUUGACAGUUUCUUUGUAAAGUGAAUUUGCUUGUCUUCUUUUCCAAUCACCCUCGCUGCUUGUUUUUGCUUGUGGGAUUCCCCUGUUAAGGUAUUUGUUUUCCAAAGCUAAUAUUUAUUUAUGCUUCCAAUUCCUAAGGUUAAUUCCUUUGUUCCCAGUUUUUAAAUGUGUGCAGCGUGAAACCAAUGUUGAUGACCUCAUGGAAAACACUAGGAGAUUAUAUUUAUUUAUUUAUUUUUGCAAAACUGCAUAUGCCUACUUUGAUGUUGAUAUCAGAAAAUUUCAAACUAUAUUGCAAUUUUUGUUUGCACAUCCCAUUGCCAAUGAUGCAUUUAUUCCUAUCUGUAUCCCACAGCUCUGAACCCCAUGCCGAUAGCUGCCCGUUUCAUUUAUUUUGGCAUAUCCAUGGUUUGUUGCUUAAUUCUUAACACUAUUUUGCCUAGCUUAUUCACUUGUUUUGCCUAAUUUAUAAUAUAUAAUUAUUUUUGUAGUGCAUCGUUGGUUAUGACUCCAGCUCGCGCGCCCUCCGUGGAUCAGGCAUCAACGGUCGCAGUUCUGAGGACGCCACCUCCUCUGGUGCUCUGCAUCCAUCUUCCCCACUAAGGUGUGCGUGGUGAGCUGGGCGCUAGUCAUGGAUGGGGAUGUUGCUAUCGCUAGGGGCCGCACCGUGGGGUCUCGUCUUUGGUAUAUCGAGCACCAGCUCCGAUAGCUGCACGUUCCACAGGCUACAACAGCUCGGCAUGAUGUUGUGCGGCGCUUAGCUUCCCAUCACAGCCUCCCUCCCUGAGCAUCUCUAUCCUUUGCACUUCUCUCUUCGAGCACUUCAUACACCCGCUUCACCUUGACCAAAUUCCGUCCUUUGCAGCCCCCCUAUCGCACACCUUGGAAUGGUGCUUCUGCCUUUUACAGCCCCUAAGACUGCAGAUUUUAGGAUGCCAAGAUGCAGACUAUGUACAGUCGAACAGAGAAACAAGAUAUGUGCCAUGUAUAGAGAAGAAUGUGCAAACCUAUGUUUUUCCUAGGGACUAGAUGUACAUGUUGUGCUUUUUAAAAAAAAAACUGCGGAUGCAAAUUUGCUUUUGCUAAAUGCAUUGUCUUUUUUAUGAACAUAUACAUGCAGUACCUAAAAGCAUUUUUCUGAGACAGAUUUGCCUUUUGUUCCUAUAAUUCGUGCUCG